CCUACGGGAGGCAGCAGUGAGGAAUAUUGGUCAAUGGACGAGAGUCUGAACCAGCCAAGUAGCGUGAAGGAUGACUGCCCUAUGGGUUGUAAACUUCUUUUAUAGGGGAAUAAAACAGGGUAUGCAUACCCUCUUGUAUGUACCAUAUGAAUAAGGAUAGGCUAACUCCGUGCCAGCAGCCGCGGUAAUACGGAGGAUCCGAGAGUUAUCCGGAUUUAUUGGGGUUCACGGGAGCGUAGGUGGCUUGUUAAGUCAGUGGUGAAAGUUUGCGGCUCAACCGGAAAAUUGCAGUUGAAACUGGCAGUCUUGCGUACAGUAGAGGUGGGCGGAAUUCGUGGUGUAGCGGU
This 347-nucleotide ribosomal RNA is filed under the name uncultured bacterium. RNAcentral describes it as "partial 16S ribosomal RNA". It matches the Rfam family "Bacterial small subunit ribosomal RNA", at positions 338 to 682 of the family's 1533-position model. The record is from RNAcentral.